UUGGAGCUGGAAGGUGAAAGAGGGCGGAACCAGCCUCAAACCCGGGAGAUGGACCCGGCAAAGGUCAAAGUCAGUGGGAUAAGAGUGUUCCCGACUUCGCUGAGCCCAGGGUUUGCAGCUGGGAGAAGGUGGCCAGCCCCAAAGGCGAGGCCCCGCGGGGGCGCAACUGAAGCCAGGUCCCCAGGUCGUGCCCGUUUGCACCCUCCUUCCUCGCAGCAGGGGAGUCUCUGCUCGCCGCGGCCUCGCCCCUCCCGAACCUGGGGCGUCCAGGUCGGGCGCCCGCGACCCUUACCCAGCCAGAAGUGCAGGCGGUAGGUGAAGCCGCGGCACGCCUUGCUCGUGUGCAGCACCAGUUUUUGUGUCUCCAGCACAGGCGAAGCACUGUAAAAUAUAGAUGGAAGUUUACUAUGUAUUUUGCAAUCAUUUAAUUGAAGCUGAAAUGGCAAAGGAGUUCACUGUUAUUUCAAAAGCAAAUCGCUCACCAUGUAAAGAACAAUGAAGGGCAGGUGUGUCCGGCUCCUAUUACAGAUGAGGAAACUGAGGCUUUGGAACUUGUCAGAGGUCAUUCGGCUGGUUUCUCCAGAAGCAGACACAAGGAUUCCAGGGAAACCAGAGGUGAUCCCCAAAACGGAGAGCUUCACAGAUAAGAAAAAGCUAAAGGAGUUCAUCACCACCAAACCAGC
Molecule: long non-coding RNA, 683 nt
Organism: Myotis myotis
Lineage: Eukaryota; Metazoa; Chordata; Mammalia; Chiroptera; Vespertilionidae
Exons: 5
Source: RefSeq, a predicted model, not a curated record